Long non-coding RNA from Entelurus aequoreus (snake pipefish), 963 nucleotides. RefSeq lists it as uncharacterized. The transcript has 4 exons. The record is from RefSeq and is a predicted model, not a curated record. NCBI's taxonomy places the organism in Eukaryota, Metazoa, Chordata, Actinopteri, Syngnathiformes, Syngnathidae.
GGCAAUGAAAGGAGUGUCGAAUGUCCAGGGGCAGAGAGUUCCAGAGGUGACUAAAUGCUCUCGACCCCAUGGUAACCAGGUGUGUAGGUGGAAGGAUGAUCCGGAUGGAGGAAGAAGACCUGAGAGAACGGUAAUGUGUCAAGAUGCAGGGCUUAAGUACAUCCAUCACUUUCCUCUUAGACGUUGGACCACCUCAUGCAGAAGAAUAUCUGAACACGCGCCACACGGGUGUCGAGAGUGGAGGAGGCAAAUCAUCGGACAUCCCACCCACGAGUACCCUAGGCCCCCCACAUACAAUGGGCGUGUCGGGAAAAUGCUUCGAGAUGGGGGACGAGCGUCCGCCGGGGUGUAGCCUACGUCACCGCCCCCCCUACGGCAAAGGCCCAGAUGGAAGAAGUCAAAAGAACGGAUGUGAGGGGAAAAAAAAGAAAGACAAUUCGACUUUUUGUGUGCGGUUGUCUCUUGGAACAAAGCAACCAAUCGAUCACUUUGAAGGUACAGCAAACUCAAGUCACAUCAAAUAAAAAGGUACGUCGUUUGAACUCUACAAUCCAUCACAUGGACUCUUCUUACUUUCCUUAUCAGAGUGUAACGUCAAUGCAGGGUUUUUUUCUCGGAUGAUCGAGAACAGAUUAUUUGUAUUUCCACAACGGGAAAAAGUCAAGGCAGCUCAAUGCAUCUUUACAGAUAUCGCACACGUGGAUGCAGCGGCGUCUUCUUUCGCACGUAGCACGCAGAUUUUUCAAACUUAGUCGCUGUCGACAAGGAAAAUCUUUUACCGCUUUCUCAUCUACCGUCUCUUCCGGUUGCUUCUCUUCAUCUCCUAUCUUGCUGAGCAGUACAAAAGCCCAGACUGCAUCCCGCUGUCUGCACCCUUUUGGAAUGAGCUCCAAGUUCCCAGGUUGGCAUGGGGUGCAUACUGUACAUUGUCAUCAGCAUGUCACAGAUAGCUUUUCAAAAUGC